Molecule: ribosomal RNA, 1110 nt
Filed under: Indian Cowpea bud proliferation phytoplasma
Lineage: Bacteria; Bacillati; Mycoplasmatota; Mollicutes; Acholeplasmatales; Acholeplasmataceae
Description: bacterial SSU rRNA
Rfam family: Bacterial small subunit ribosomal RNA
Source: RNAcentral
GUAUGCUUAGGGAGGAGCUUGCGUCACAUUAGUUAGUUGGUGGGGUAAAGGCCUACCAAGACUAUGAUGUGUAGCCGGGCUGAGAGGUUGAACGGCCACAUUGGGACUGAGACACGGCCCAAACUCCUACGGGAGGCAGCAGUAGGGAAUUUUCGGCAAUGGAGGAAACUCUGACCGAGCAACGCCGCGUGAACGAUGAAGUAUUUCGGUACGUAAAGUUCUUUUAUUAGGGAAGAAUAAAUGAUGGAAAAAUCAUUCUGACGGUACCUAAUGAAUAAGCCCCGGCUAACUAUGUGCCAGCAGCCGCGGUAAUACAUAGGGGGCAAGCGUUAUCCGGAAUUAUUGGGCGUAAAGGGUGCGUAGGCGGUUAAAUAAGUUUAUGGUCUAAGUGCAAUGCUCAACAUUGUGAUGCUAUAAAAACUGUUUAGCUAGAGUAAGAUAGAGGCAAGUGGAAUUCCAUGUGUAGUGGUAAAAUGCGUAAAUAUAUGGAGGAACACCAGUAGCGAAGGCGGCUUGCUGGGUCUUUACUGACGCUGAGGCACGAAAGCGUGGGGAGCAAACAGGAUUAGAUACCCUGGUAGUCCACGCCGUAAACGAUGAGUACUAAACGUUGGGUAAAACCAGUGUUGAAGUUAACACAUUAAGUACUCCGCCUGAGUAGUACGUACGCAAGUAUGAAACUUAAAGGAAUUGACGGGACUCCGCACAAGCGGUGGAUCAUGUUGUUUAAUUCGAAGGUACCCGAAAAACCUCACCAGGUCUUGACAUGCUUCUGCAAAGCUGUAGAAACACAGUGGAGGUUAUCAGUUGCACAGGUGGUGCAUGGUUGUCGUCAGCUCGUGUCGUGAGAUGUUGGGUUAAGUCCCGCAACGAGCGCAACCCUUAUUGUUAGUUACCAGCACGUAAUGGUGGGGACUUUAGCAAGACUGCCAGUGAUAAAUUGGAGGAAGGUGGGGACGACGUCAAAUCAUCAUGCCCCUUAUGACCUGGGCUACAAACGUGAUACAAUGGCUGUUACAAAGGGUAGCUGAAGCGCAAGUUUUUGGCGAAUCUCAAAAAAACAGUCUCAGUUCGGAUUGAAGUCUGCACUCGACUCAUGAAGUUGAAAUU